Molecule: long non-coding RNA, 238 nt
Organism: Telopea speciosissima
Lineage: Eukaryota; Viridiplantae; Streptophyta; Magnoliopsida; Proteales; Proteaceae
Exons: 2
Source: RefSeq, a predicted model, not a curated record
UGAAGAAGAAAACCAACAUGCAAGUUAAGCUCCAGGCAUCGCAACAAAACGUAACCCAAAUGAAACGAUUAUCAACAAAACGCACAUCCAAACUCAACUAAAAACAGUUCCACACGCUAACACAAAGAGCAAAACAUAGAUUAAGCUUAAACAACUUAAACAAGUUAACCAAACAAAGAAAACCCCCAACUAGUGCAUGAUCAGAGCAGCAUUAUUACAUAUUAAAACUCAAAACCAG